UACGUAGGGGGCAAGCGUUGUCCGGAUUUAUUGGGCGUAAAGAGCUCGUAGGCGGUUUGUCGCGUCGUCUGUGAAAACCCGGGGCUCAACCCCGGACCUGCAUCCGAUACUCCCGGACUGGAGGCAGGUAGGGGAGAGCGGAAUUCCCGGUGUAGCGGUGAAAUGCGCAGAUAUCGGGAAGAACACCGGUGGCGAAGGCGGCUCUCUGGACCUGUCCUGACGCUCAGGCGCGAAAGCUAGGGGAGCGAACAGG
Molecule: ribosomal RNA, 253 nt
Filed under: uncultured bacterium
Lineage: Bacteria
Description: partial 16S ribosomal RNA
Rfam family: Bacterial small subunit ribosomal RNA
Source: RNAcentral